UACGUAGGCAGCAAGCGUUGUUCGGAAUUACUGGGCGUAAAGAGUGUGUAGGCGGUGCUCUAAGUCUGUUGUGAAAUCUCCCGGCUUAACCGGGAGGGUGCGGCGGAAACUGGAGUGCUUGAGGGUGGGAGAGGUAAGCGGAAUUCCUGGUGUAGCGGUGAAAUGCGUAGAUAUCAGGAGGAACACCGGUGGUGUAGACGGCUUUCUGGACCGUAACUGACGCUGAGACACGAAAGCUAGGGGAGCAAACAGG
Molecule: ribosomal RNA, 253 nt
Filed under: uncultured bacterium
Lineage: Bacteria
Description: partial 16S ribosomal RNA
Rfam family: Bacterial small subunit ribosomal RNA
Source: RNAcentral